GGUGAGGUAGACGAAAUGUAAAGUAAGUUUGAGGAUGAGUUGCUGUGCUCCGUUGUCUCAUCACUAAAAUGAUAAAAUGUGUUAUCCUAAUUACUGUCAUCGCGAAGAAUACUUAAAUCACUAAAAUCAGUAAAUAAACGGUUCGUAUUCCUAACGCCGGGGAAGAGUAGGUACCCAGCAGGACUCUGAACCAAUCAGUGGAGACUUGUGACGUAAUGUGUGGCGAUAUCCAAUAGGCAAAAAGAGUCGUUCAUGCACGUUGUCAGUCCUCAGUUCUCUCGCGUAGUAGUGUGCAUUGUGGCUGUUUAUCUGUGUUUAUCUGGAAACUGGGACGUCAUCAGCUGUCAGGGGUUUUGAGGUUGAUUCGCCGCGUCAUGCUAAGGAUUACAGGACUACUGGAGGGCCUUGUGAGAAACAGCACUCCUUGACCCAGCGCUUUCCCUGUAUUAAUGAACCUCAGUCCUCCGUCAGUGGUUCGUAAAGUUAAAGAUAUUUGCACGGUGGUGAACAUUAUGGUGAAUGAUGAAAUUAGAGCCCCUGGUUUGGCGCCAUUUGAGAAAGGUUAACAGAAGCAGUGAAAAAUUGCUCAGGAAAAGUACUUGGCAAAGCUCUUGUCACAUUGGAAGAAAACGAAGAGAAGAGAAAACGGAGAGACGGUGAUGUUGCAAGGUACUCUUUCCAUCAUUCGUUACUCCCACGUCACCUUCCCUCACCGCACCACGCCCACUCAGGCUCAACCUUCACCCUACAAAACUCAAGCCCGCCACAGCUAAACAUCGUGCGGCAUCCAUGACCACACACAAGCUCGUAUCUCUUGCCUCAUCACGGUACGCCUGAAACUCAUCCGCCGUUGGAGCCCUGACUCUGCCAUAUGAUAAUACAGAUUGGACACAAUGAUGCAUCACGAAGGAGAGACAAAUAAGUGGAAAACUUGGAAGGAAAUCUCAGGCUGGAGCAGGAGCACUAUACAUUGCCUAUAACAUUGUGACUACACGUCUCCACACGUCUUGUACACGUUCUGUCUGAAGAAUGCUUUUAUUGGAUUUAUUACUGAAUAUAAUGCUGUGCACCUGAUUUAGGCUAAAUUCCGUUUCACUUUACAUCGCACCCUAAAAAGAGUAAAUAAAAAUAAUAAUAA
Long non-coding RNA from Scylla paramamosain (green mud crab), 1138 nucleotides. RefSeq lists it as uncharacterized. The record is from RefSeq and is a predicted model, not a curated record. NCBI's taxonomy places the organism in Eukaryota, Metazoa, Arthropoda, Malacostraca, Decapoda, Portunidae. The transcript is spliced from 5 exons.